GCCUUCUCGAGGCUGCUGGCGUGCGUCGCCGAAACAGCAAGUAGCGUCACCGUCACCUCAUCCGCGGGCCCGUAACCUCACACGGUAACGACGUAUAGUUCAACAAUACCCCAAGAUUUAGAGGAAGGACAACCACAGUUUGGAGUAGUACAUGAGCCAGAGGGGCCUCCGUAGGAAAGCUUUGCAUACAGAGCAGGAGAACAAGUCGAAGCUUAGUUACCUCUUUUAGUUAGUUGAUGACCCUAGUUUACUUUUGUAGUACUUUUAUCUUCCGCCUGAUCGAUGUAUUUCAUAUUUAUAUUUUCCAGCAUUCAAAUAGUCUUGUAUAAGGGCAUGCUGACCUAAAUAUUAUGCCUGGGAUGAUAUUCAUUUGUGAUA
Long non-coding RNA from Asparagus officinalis (garden asparagus), 378 nucleotides. RefSeq lists it as uncharacterized. The record is from RefSeq and is a predicted model, not a curated record. The transcript has 2 exons. Lineage: Eukaryota; Viridiplantae; Streptophyta; Magnoliopsida; Asparagales; Asparagaceae.